Long non-coding RNA from Peromyscus californicus insignis, 1040 nucleotides. RefSeq lists it as uncharacterized. The transcript is spliced from 3 exons. NCBI's taxonomy places the organism in Eukaryota, Metazoa, Chordata, Mammalia, Rodentia, Cricetidae. The record is from RefSeq and is a predicted model, not a curated record.
CAAAAGCGGCUGGAAAAGUGGUCCAGGUGCUGCCAUUCUGAGCUGCUUUCUCCUCAGUAACCCGUGUGCUCCCGGGAAGGAGAAGACCCCGAAGUCACACAAUUCAGGUAUCAUGAGAGUCUUCUUCCAUUCUCUCAGGAUCUCCUUGGUGGAGUAGGGACAGUUCCUGUCUCUGAAGUAAAGGGUCAAGAACUCCUGUAGCAGCCCUGGUUUUCCAUCGCUGAGCUCCAGCUCACAACUGGGAUAGAAGGUGAAGCUUCAGUUACACGAGGCUGGGAGCAGAGGGAAGAGGCCUGAGUUCUCUCUGCUUCCCGAGCUUCCAAGCAGCUUCAGGUGCCUGCCACAUGGACACGGCUGCUUCUGAUACCAUGCCUUCCUCAUCAGGAUGGACCUGGUCCUCUCAAACCAAAGUUCAAGUGCUGUGCUGCAGACUGGUCACCAGUUCUCCCUCUUCUGCCUGUUUACAUCUUGGAAUCUUGACCCCUUCCUUUGAUGGUGUUGGGAGAUGACCGGGCUGAGAUGAAUCUGUGAGGGUGAGACCUGAGACAGAAUUAGUGGCCUUACAAGAGGAAUAAGACAUCAGAGUUCCUACACGGUCUGCCCUCUUCAUGCCCUCUUGCCCAUCUGUGUGCUCCCUCCUAGUCUAUGGCUUCUUGCUGUCCUACAGCCCAAGCUGAUGAAGACAUGUGCAGGCCGAGGACUACAAGGUUGAAGGGUCUUUCUGAUGUCAUAAGUCAGGGAAUUGUUAUGAUUUGGAUGUGAAAUCCCCUCCCCCGCCACCAGCUCAUAGGCUUGAACACUGUUCAUAGCAGGAGAUAGGCUAGUGAAAGGGAGUCAGAGGCUGUAUCUGUUCCUUCCUGGUCCUGGUCCUCAGCACUCCCUGAGAGGUGUUGACAAUAGCCAUUCCACAGAGGUGGGGCAUCACAGGAAAAGGUUGUGACUACUAAUGCCAUCUGUCCCUCGGGAGAUGAUGCAGUGUUUCAGCGUGGCCUCCCUCUUAGAGAACUGCUGCCUGACAGGCGCACACACACACACACACA